This 253-nucleotide ribosomal RNA is filed under the name uncultured bacterium. RNAcentral's name for it is "partial 16S ribosomal RNA". It matches the Rfam family "Bacterial small subunit ribosomal RNA", at positions 524 to 776 of the family's 1533-position model. The record is from RNAcentral.
UACGGAGGGUGCAAGCGUUGCUCGGAAUUAUUGGGCGUAAAGGGUAGGUAGGUGGUCUCAUUUGUCUGGGGUGAAAGCCUUGAGCUUAACUCAAGAAGUGCCCCAGAAACGGUGAGACUGGAGUCCUGGAGAGGGAUGCGGAAUUCCAGGUGUAGCGGUGAAAUGCGUAGAUAUCUGGAGGAACACCGGUGGCGAAGGCGGCAUCCUGGACCAAUUCUGACGCUGAGGAGCGAAAGCCAGGGGAGCAAACGGG